Molecule: ribosomal RNA, 253 nt
Filed under: uncultured bacterium
Lineage: Bacteria
Description: partial 16S ribosomal RNA
Rfam family: Bacterial small subunit ribosomal RNA
Source: RNAcentral
UACGGAGGGAGCUAGCGUUGUUCGGAAUUACUGGGCGUAAAGCGCACGUAGGCGGCUUUGUAAGUUAGAGGUGAAAGCCCGGGGCUCAACUCCGGAACUGCCUUUAAGACUGCAUCGCUUGAAUCCGGGAGAGGUGAGUGGCAUUCCGAGUGUAGAGGUGAAAUUCGUAGAUAUUCGGAAGAACACCAGUGGCGAAGGCGGCUCACUGGACCGGCAUUGACGCUGAGGUGCGAAAGCGUGGGGAGCAAACAGG